Molecule: long non-coding RNA, 184 nt
Organism: Arabidopsis lyrata subsp. lyrata
Lineage: Eukaryota; Viridiplantae; Streptophyta; Magnoliopsida; Brassicales; Brassicaceae
Exons: 3
Source: RefSeq, a predicted model, not a curated record
CUUACGUUGUUGGUUUGAUGAAACAAUGCAAGUAAUAAUGGAAUGUUUGAGACUAAGGUUGAGAAGCAGCUUACUUGUGACUGUGAGGAAAGUGAAGCUGAAAUGCAGAGUGUCAAGAUACUAAGAUGAGAUUGAUGAGAAGACUAAGAAAGCAAGUGAGUGGAAUGACGAGUUUGAGUGGAGC